RNAcentral lists this ribosomal RNA (447 nucleotides) under uncultured bacterium. Its description in RNAcentral is "bacterial SSU rRNA". It matches the Rfam family "Bacterial small subunit ribosomal RNA", at positions 355 to 825 of the family's 1533-position model. The record is from RNAcentral.
UCGGGAAUUUUGGGCAAUGGGGGAAACCCUGACCCAGCAACGCCGCGUGAAGGAUGAAGUAUUUCGGUAUGUAAACUUCGAAAGAAUAGGAAGAAUAAAUGACGGUACUAUUUAUAAGGUCCGGCUAACUACGUGCCAGCAGCCGCGGUAAUACGUAGGGACCAAGCGUUGUUCGGAUUUACUGGGCGUAAAGGGCGCGUAGGCGGCAUGACAAGUCACUUGUGAAAUCUCUGGGCUUAACCCAGAACGGCCAAGUGGUACUGUCGCGCUAGAGUGCAGAAGGGGCAAUCGGAAUUCUUGGUGUAGCGGUGAAAUGCGUAGAUAUCAAGAGGAACACCUGAGGUGAAGACGGGUUGCUGGGCUGACACUGACGCUGAGACGCGAAAGCGUGGGGAGCAAACAGGAUUAGAUACCCCUGUAGUCCCUGAGCGGGCUGGCAAGGCGCAU